RNAcentral lists this ribosomal RNA (432 nucleotides) under uncultured bacterium. Its description in RNAcentral is "partial 16S ribosomal RNA". It matches the Rfam family "Bacterial small subunit ribosomal RNA", at positions 29 to 507 of the family's 1533-position model. The record is from RNAcentral.
ACGCACGCUGGCGGCAUGCCUCACCCCUGCAAGUCGCACGAGACCUUCGGGUCUAGUGGCGCACGGGUGCGUAACGCGUGGGAACCUGCCCUUAGAUUCGGAAUAACUCCCCGAAAGGGGUGCUAAUACCGGAUAAUGUCUUCGGACCAAAGAUUUAUCGCCUUUGGAUGGGCCCGCGUUGGAUUAGCUAGUUGGUAGGGUAAAAGCCUACCAAGGCGACGAUCCAUAGCUGGUCUGAGAGGAUGAUCAGCCACACUGGGACUGAGACACGGCCCAGACUCCUACGGGAGGCAGCAGUGGGGAAUAUUGGACAAUGGGCGAAAGCCUGAUCCAGCAAUGCCGCGUGAGUGAUGAAGGCCUUAGGGUUGUAAAGCUCUUUUACCCGGGAUGAUAAUGACAGUACCGGGAGAAUAAGCGCCGGCUAACUCCGUG